UUAAGUUCAGCGGGUAUCCCUACCUGAUCCGAGGUCAACCUGAAAGAAUUGGGGGUUGUUGGCGAGCACGUAUAGGGAUCCAUCGCGAGAAAAAUUACUACGCGUAGAGCCUACAGGCACCGCCACUGAUUUUAGGGGCCGCGGGGACCGCGAUUCCCAAGACCAAGCUAGGCUUGAGGGUUGUAAUGACGCUCGAACAG
RNAcentral lists this unclassified non-coding RNA (200 nucleotides) under Helotiaceae sp. RNAcentral's name for it is "partial internal transcribed spacer 2". Lineage: Eukaryota; Fungi; Ascomycota; Leotiomycetes; Helotiales; Helotiaceae. The record is from RNAcentral.